GAGUAUCUGUAUAGAUAUGGUAUAGAGUAUCUGUAUAGAUACUGUAUAGAGUAUCUGUACAGAGUAUCUGUAUAGAUACUAUAUAGAGUAUCUGUAUAGAGACUGUAUAGAGUAUCUGUAUAGAGACUGUAUAGAGUAUCUGUAUAGAUACUGUAUAGAGUAUCUGUACAGAGUAUCCGUAUAGAGUAUCUGUAUAGAUACUGUAUAGAGUAUCUGUAUAGAUCUACCAGCAGUUGUUUUUGAAGGCUGAGGGAGAACACUGUUAUACAAUUUGGUUAAAGUAUUUCCAAACAGGGAAAUGCAUAAUCAUGUGUGGAGUAGUGUCUUCGAUGUAGCCUAACUAUACUGGAGUAGUGUCCUCGAUGUAGCCUAACUAUGCUGGAGUAGUGUCUUCGAUGUAGCCUAACUAUACUGGAGUAGUGUCCUCGAUGUAGCCUAACUAUGCUGUAGUAGUGUCCUCGAUGUAGCCUAACUAUACUGGAGUAGUGUCCUCGAUGUAGCCUAACUAUGCUGUAGUAGAAAUACAGUAACUGUCAUACAGGUGUGUGGAAAUACAGUAACUGUCAUACAGGUGUGUGGAAAUACAGUAACUGUCAUACAGGUGUGUGGAAAUACAGUAACUGUCAUACAGGUGUUUGGCCUCCGGGGGGCAGACAGACAUUGUGUAGAAAAGUCAACUCUUUGAAGAAUGUGCUUCUCUAAGCAUUCAAUAUGUAGAAACAUUAUAAAGUGUUUGAUAUUACAAUCUAGCUAGGCAUAUAUUAUAUAUAUAUAUAUAUAUAUAUAUUACACACAGUCAUGUAUUAACAGAUGUAAAAAGGUUGAAUGGUAUCAAAAGCAACAAGUCAAGAAAUAUACUAUUGAUCAACAUGAUCAUGAAAU
Long non-coding RNA from Oncorhynchus tshawytscha (Chinook salmon), 882 nucleotides. The record is from Ensembl. NCBI's taxonomy places the organism in Eukaryota, Metazoa, Chordata, Actinopteri, Salmoniformes, Salmonidae.